RNAcentral lists this ribosomal RNA (244 nucleotides) under uncultured bacterium. RNAcentral describes it as "partial small subunit ribosomal RNA". It matches the Rfam family "Bacterial small subunit ribosomal RNA", at positions 26 to 285 of the family's 1533-position model. The record is from RNAcentral.
AGAAUCAACGCUGGCGGCGUGCCUAACACAUGCAAGUCGAACGGGAAAGUGGAGCAAUCCAUGAGUAUAGUGGCGACCGGGUGAGUAACACGUGACUACCUACCCUUGAGUGGGGGAUAACCUCGGGAAAACCGAGGCUAAUACCGCAUAAUAUCGAAAGAUCAAAGGAGUAAUCCGCUUUUGGAGGGGUCGCGGCUGAUUAGCUAGUUGGUAAGGUAAUGGCUUACCAAGGCGAAGAUCGGUA